AUAUUGCUCAAUGGGAGAAAUCCUGAAGCAGCAACGCCGCGUGGAGGAUGAAGGGUCUAUGACUUGUAAACUCCUGUAAAGAAGGAAAAAAUUCCCAUUAGAUGGGAGAUGAUGGUACUUCUGGAGUAAGCCCCGGCUAACUACGUGCCAGCAGCCGCGGUAAUACGUAGGGGGCAAGCGUUGCCCGGAUUUACUGGGUGUAAAGGGUGCUCAGGCGGAUUUGUAAGUCAGAGGUGAAAUCUUACAGCUUAACUGUGAAAAUGCCUUUGAUACUGCACGCCUAGAGUAUGGAAGAGAGGGCUGGAAUAUCUGGUGUAGCAUCGAAAUGCGCAGAUAUCAGAUAGAACACCAAUGGCGAAGGCAGUCACUUGGUCCAUUACUGACGCUAAAGCACGAAAGCGUGGGU
Molecule: ribosomal RNA, 406 nt
Filed under: uncultured bacterium
Lineage: Bacteria
Description: bacterial SSU rRNA
Rfam family: Bacterial small subunit ribosomal RNA
Source: RNAcentral